RNAcentral lists this ribosomal RNA (450 nucleotides) under uncultured Glomeromycotina. RNAcentral describes it as "SSU rRNA". It matches the Rfam family "Eukaryotic small subunit ribosomal RNA", at positions 569 to 1024 of the family's 1831-position model. Lineage: Eukaryota; Fungi; Glomeromycota. The record is from RNAcentral.
AGCAGCCGCGGUAAUUCCAGCUCCAAUAGCGUAUAUUAAAGUUGUUGCAGUUAAAAAGCUCGUAGUUGAAUUUCGGGGUUAGUAGGUCGGUCAUGCCUCAGGUAUGCACUGGUCUCACUGAUUCCUCCUUCCUGAUGAGCCGUAAUGCCAUUAAUUUGGUGUUGCGGGGAAUCUGGACUGUUACUUUGAAAAAUUAGAGUGUUUAAAGCAGGCUAACGCUUGAAUACAUUAGCAUGGAAUAAUGGAAUAGGACGUUCGAUCCUAUUUUGUUGGUUUCUAGGAUUGACGUAAUGAUUAAUAGGGAUAGUUGGGGGCAUUAGUAUUCAAUUGCCAGAGGUGAAAUUCUUGGAUUUAUUGAAGACUAACUACUGCGAAAGCAUUUGCCAAGGAUGUUUUCAUUAAUCAAGAACGAAAGUUAGGGGAUCGAAGACGAUCAGAUACCGUCGUAGU